CUUUCCGGCAGGAAUUUUACGGAAAGUUGAAUAUUUGACAUGUUUGGACUUACUCUUUGGUUUGUCAGUCUUACAUUGACUCACACCAAAAAACUUUAAUAAUAAAUCAAGGGGUUUUACGCGAUCCCAGCAUUACUCAGCACAAAUCUCUAGGUCCAUCUUCAGAGCCGGUCCUGAUGUGCUUCUCCACAGACAGACAGGUGGCAGCAGAGAGCCACGAGGCCCCAGCAGCUGAUGAACUCCACUUCCACAUAAUUAAAUCUCAUGCGUCUUUUAUUCCAUCCCGGGCUCCAUUUUUGUGUCACUUCUCGGGACGAGCAUAUUAGAGCAGAGUUCCGGACGAAGAAAAGAGAAGUGAUCGGAAGGAAAGACGCCCCACGCCGGAUAAAGAUCAGCUGUUGGAUGCAGGCCUGUGACAAUACACUGACCACCAGUCAGGUGGGUCUGCGGGACAUUUCAGAUCACGGAGGGGCAGCCAGCUCGCUCAGCGCCGGGAGCCUGCGCUCAGACUCCAGUCCCAGGCCCCGCUGAGGCCUUGUCCCGGGCAGGGCAGAGAGACACCUGGCCAAACCGCAGAAACACUUCCAGCUGCAGACUGCCUGAUGCUCGCCACGGAGAGAAUCCAGGCCAAAGGUGGAGGGGCUCACCGAGGAACUGCUGCGAUACCGGGGACGGCUUCCUGACCAACCAAACUCAUGCUCUUUGGCAGAGACUGGGAAACGGAGCCCAGCAAACUCUUGCUCCUCCAAGUGAAAGUGGGAGAGCACAAGUGGCGAAAAAAAAGAGAAAAAAAAGAAGAGGCAGAGUGAACAACAGCUCCCUUUUCUCUCCGACUAGUUGACUUGAAAGGCCACAUUAUGUCUGAGAUUAGAGGCAAUUACACUGGGAGUGCGCCUUAAGACCUUUGUUUGCCAACAUGACAGGAGGGAGCAGGGCUGUAAUUUGAUGAGGAGGCAGCGCGAGUGAGAAACUCCGCACGUCGAGCUCCCAGUGGGGAGAGGCAGAGAGGAAGCCUUUGUCCGUUGCAUGGCGGGUUGGCCGAGUUAUGAAUGUUUAGAGGAACAAUUCCACCAGCAGCAGAUGUGUCUUUGUCCCGGAGUUCAGAUUUCUUUUGUGGCUACUGUUAAUGGCUGAAAAAAAAAAAUGAGUUUAAAGACUUUACGGCCUCAAAGGGAAAUACUUUCAUCUUCCGCUUGUUCCGGAUCUAUUGUUUCGGCAUUUCUAUCAAUUCCAAUUUCACAAUCGUGUGCCUUCAUUCAAAUGUCACAAAUCCUGUAAACAAAUGAUUCAGCCUGAACUCGCGGGUCAAACAAAAGCACCCUUGGCAUAUCUUCCAGACGAGACAUCUCCUUCAUUGUGGCCGGCUGCAUUGUUCUGAACACGCCGCGAGUUUUCAGGACAGGAAACAAGCAGCUUGUUCCAGCCCGACCGGCGGAACGGAGCACGUCUUUAUUUGAGGGAAGUCAUUCCGUUGAUAUAUAAAACACCAAAGCAAGGUUUCCUUCCCCCCGGCUUUCCUGGUGCUAUCCCCUUCAAAAGAACACAGCCCUUUAUACUGGGCUCACGUGCACACACGGGACCAGAAGAAAAACAAACACAGGCCAUUUAAAUAUCAAGCAAGCUGCCUCCUGUUUGAAUUGAGGAGCUACCGCUCGGCCCCGGCUCCUCCAGCCUUCAGUUACUCGCCUUCUGAGCCCAGUACAACGUAUUGGGGUGUUGAUUUCUGCAGGGUAGGCCAAUACAGUAUGUAGUUGUCUCUUAUUCGGUCUUUGAAGACCAACACAUUCAGCGAGUUUGACAAACGUCUUCCCGGUCAUCGAUGUAAGGAACCGAGAUUCAAGAUUCAAUUCAUUGUCGGUUUCUGGAAAAAACACUACAGUAACUUCAAUGCGAAGGUAGAGAGUCAAAGUACGUAAGGUUCGUAAAGUGCAGAAGUAAAUAAAUCCCGAUGAAUGAUUGCACAUGUAAAGAAUUUGUCAUGUCUGAUAUCUGAUGGGCAAAUAUGUAAAAAGAAAAAGAGAAACUCCGAUAGCAACAGCAGAACUAGUAUAAGCAGCCAGUGUUACAUGGAAACUAAGAUCUCCAGUUACCAAUCAUUGUCAGUAUCGCUAAAAACGUUUCUAACAAUCCCACUUUCACCAUCCGCCAUCUUGAUUUUUUCAACCAAAUGUUCCCGCGAGGGAGUGUGAAGGAGGAAGAGGACCACCUAUUAAAGUGAAAUCUUAGGAGUGAUGGAUGGGAGCUUGUUGAGGGGGAGCGGAGCAGCACACACCCCAGGGAGGUGGAUGAUGAACAAGGAAGGAUGGAGGGAGGGGUGAGCUCACCAAAUCCCCGCUCACACCUCUCGCUGCGGGCGGGUGGAGGGGAUGGAGACCUCCCAUGCUGUCUGCCUCAGAGAUUUGAUUGAUUCAAGCCUCCAAAGUACAUUCAACUUUUGUUUGCUUUCCUUGAAUCUUUUUCUUUCAUCUUAUUGGUUAUAAGUUAAUAUUCCUUCACCAGUUCAUUCUUUUAAUACUUUAAAUACUUCUUAGAUAUAAGCGAGCAAUACUUCACGGAGUGCUGACUGGAUUUGUUAACAAUGACCUGAAACACUUGAAGGCACUUCCCAAACUUAUUUCUCAACAUGGAGCCUUUCCAGCAACACUGUAAUGUUUUCGCUGUAAGCAAGGCCUCCUCAUAUUUCUCCAAAAAAUUGAAAUAUCCUGACAGUCGCAAUUAAUCAGCCAAGUCCUGAAGAGCUUUCAGUGUUUACAUAAUAGCUAUUGGCUACUGUCGGCCCCUCUGAUGGGCAGCCUCAAGCCGCUCGCAGCGGAGAUGAGGAACAGGCUAGCAGGGGCAAUUCUUUUCAGCUCCACACCUCCACUUUGUUUGGUGGGGGGGGCAUUUCAAUAUUGUACUACUCUCAGACGAAACAGACUCAGGUGACAUGACUUUGCGCCACCUCAUCUGGCAUAAAACUCUUUCUUAAAGAAGAGAGUUCCACAUCCAAAGUUUCCUUUGAAGGCUUUUGUGUAAUGUUGCUCCUGUGAAAACAAAUAUUGAUUGACCUUCGUGGGCCACGGAAAUAACAUAUUGGAAUUCCUAAAGGAGAAUAAAGUUGCAUUCAAUUUCUAAAUAGAAAUCACAAUAUACGAUGCUACAAAUAAAUCAUAACAUAUAUAUUUUUGUUUAUUUAUAGUACAUUUUUCACAAUAAAGUCACAAUGAGAAUCUUAAAAAAUCUCCCUUAAACCUUUCAAAACCACUACAAUGUGAGUUUAACACAUAAGUAGUAUAAUAACAGCAUAUUCUUGUACUGUAUGCUGUGCAUAUGGUUUAUUGAUCCACAUCUACCUUGCAUGGAUUUGGAAAAAUGUUUUGGAUAAUUCCAAACCGUAUGAUACUUAAUCUGUACAAAUGAUGGCAGUCUGUGCUGCAUGCAAUUGUAGGGCUGACAAAGAACUAUUUGUGCCCAAAAAAAUAUGUCAUAAGUCAUAUCAUCUAACUAAUAAACUGCGAGAUGCUAAAGGGAAUGCUAAAGUGUGUGCUUACUUUUAACGAGGAAAUCCUGUAGUCACAUUUGAGGACAAUAAAUUCAUGAAGAAGCAAAUGGAGGGGCUGUAGCCCUUGUGGUUUAGCGCCUGGUGUGGGGAGGAAUUACUGCUGUAGUAGUUUGCCUUUAACUGUCAGGAAAUGACCCAUAAUCUGCAAGCGUUUGACUGCUGCAGCAUUCCUGUGAAAUGACACAAGUUGAGCUAGAUUAGGGGCUGGGUAAUUAGCUCAUUAGUCAACAUAAACACAUGGCAGGACUCCCCCGUUCUACACCCUGCCCCCCUCCCGCCGCCCACAGCUGGUGGCGAAAGUAAAUUCUCACAAAUGUAUGCACAUGCAUACCUGAGCGAACACAUAUACAGACAUGCACGCUGCACCCAGACCACUUCAUCAAUCCAAUUCCUUUCUUCUGGACUUUGUUUUUCCUCCAUGGCUUUUUUUUUUCUGGCUUCAUCAUCUCUUCUAUUCUGCUUCGCUCCAGACAAGCCACUCUUUCAUAUUGUAGCCCUGGGGGCUGAGGGCCAGCCACUUUUCACCAGCACCUCGCGGCUUAUCAGAGCACUUUAUCAGCCUGAGGGAAAGAGAUGUGGGUUAAAGCUCUUCACUCCUCUCUGCUCUGAAAACCGGCAGGCUGUCGGCAAACAAGUAUUUGUAAGCUGGGGCUCAGAUAUGUGCGCCUUGCGACAAAGAGAAAAGCUUAAGGGGGUCAUGUGUUCCAGUGUGGGUUUAAGUGUGUCUGUGUGCACGGGAAGUACAGGACAUCCUUUGUGCGCAGAGGUAAGCCGGUCGCCACACAGCCUCGCUUGUUGCUGGUGGGACAGAUGCUUAACACUGGAACCUGGACAGCCCUUCACACCUCCUAAAUGCGGCAGGGGGCUAGAGCCUUUUCCUCCUCUCGCACCCCUCGAGGUCACCACACUGCUCUCUUUCAUCAAAGCAUCUCUAACCGUAUGAAACACUUCGCCAACUUGAUCAAGACGGUGUUGAAAACCUUUCGAAGUUUCACUUCCGCCACGUUGAUAGAACACUGCAGAAAGAGGGGGGAAAAAAAAUAAAAAAAUCAACCCAGUUUUAGCACCUUGAAUUGCGGGCACAAGCAACUUUUCAUGUUCAGAACAGGACCUGCAGUGUUUUUGCAUGGGAGCCAUUGGAAACAGAAAGCCUGGUUGGUGGUGCGUAAUGAUUGAUAUGAAUGGCCAUUUGUGCGGCUUUCCACUGUGAAGAACUGGCUGCGAGGCCAGGCCACUUGGGGAGCAGUGCACCUGGGUCACAUGAUGUUUGACAGAGGGGAGGUGGGACAAGCCGAGAGAGACGGGGCGGGAGGAGAGAGGGAGGAGAGAGGGAGGAAAUCGUUUUUCGAGCGAUCAAUCAUCUGCAGUUUGCUACCGAGACUAGUUGCUAGAUUGGAAGUUGUGUUUAGAUACAGCCACUUAAUCAGGAGACGACACAGCUGAUGGAUUCAUCCAUCAUCGCCUGGAGACACGGAACAUUGUUUGAUUGAAAGAGAGGAAAAAAACGAGAGCUCUCCUCACUGGUCGUCCUUUGAGUUGCAAUGUGUUAAAGUUGGACUGAUUCGGUUUGGCUUCGUGUGUGCGCGCUUGACAGAUUGUGCAACUUAAUAUAUUGCCUGAAGCAAUGACGCUAUGUUGGUUUUCAUAAAUCCCAUUCAUGGGUGGAAAGUUAACAUGCAAAGGCACAGUUCCUAGUUUACAUUGGCUCUGUAUCAUUACAUAGGGGAUGGGAGGACUGGAAAUACAAAAAUGUCCGUCAAAAUGUGCUUUUAUUUUAUCACUUAACAACUUUUGUUGUAGGUUUGAGUUUUAUUUCAGACCGUAUGUAUACCGUAAGCAUUUAUAUUCAUUGGUGUAGACACAAUGUAAUUCAUACAACAUAUCGAGACACACUGAGAUAAAUAUUUGUCACAAUACAUUUUUGGGAUAUUCAUAUUUUCAAAUAUGUACAGGCAAUCAAUAAAGAAAUGCAGAAAAACACCAGUUGGGUUGAAAUUGAUUUUAUUAUGCAUUAUAGUAUCUUCAGCUUAAUUUGCAAUAGUUACAGAAUACUGUUUUUAAGUUGGAGUUUGUGAGGAAUUUAAAUGCAUGUGUGAUAUAAUAGCAGCUUAAAAGGGGCACAGUAAAAAAGGAUUCAACCCGGAUUCCAUUUGCGUGGUACUGGCUCAUAGACUUCACACACGUACUGUAAAUAUCUCAUACAUGAUUAAAAUGUUAAGAGAGCAAUUACACGUGCAUUUCACACAACACAAUAUCAGAUGCUGAAUGAUCC
Molecule: long non-coding RNA, 5813 nt
Organism: Gasterosteus aculeatus aculeatus (three-spined stickleback)
Lineage: Eukaryota; Metazoa; Chordata; Actinopteri; Perciformes; Gasterosteidae
Source: Ensembl